Long non-coding RNA from Theobroma cacao (cacao), 795 nucleotides. RefSeq lists it as uncharacterized. The record is from RefSeq and is a predicted model, not a curated record. NCBI's taxonomy places the organism in Eukaryota, Viridiplantae, Streptophyta, Magnoliopsida, Malvales, Malvaceae.
UGUGGUGGGUGUGGGGUGGGGUUGGUGAGUGCAUUCACUAAAAAUUAGUGAAUGCUUACUCCCUUCACGAUCUACCAGCACAUAUCAUGAACUGGAUGUGUCUUAAUCAGAUCUGUGCACCUUAUUAUUAGAGUUUUUUGUACAUCAGGUUUUGAUUGUAAAUGUAAUCAGACCAUAUUCAUAUGUGUUUCGUUGGGGAAAUUCACAGAAUUGUUACCUACAAGGAUGGUUGCAUACUACAUUUAUUUCAGCUGAAGAAAGGAAUUCAGGGAUGCUGUUGAGUUUGACAAUGAGUCUGCAUAAGUGUGCGCGUGUGGAUGUGUAUUAGAGCAAGAGAAGAAAGUGAAGGGUCUGCAAUGGGGGAUGGCAUUGAUGGUGACUUUACCUUGUCUGCAGGUUUGGGAUUUCCGCUGGAAUGUUGCCAGCACUGGAAUGGAAAGAAACUUCCAGUGGUUCCUCAAUUAUAUCUCUGUCUUUUCUUUGUGGCCGACUUAUGUACAUUUCAUCAAGACUACUGAGUAGUUUGAUGACUAUCAAUUCUGAGCAAAUUUAAUUUGUCACUCUACCACUUAAACUGCUCCUGUUCUGGUUGGCAGUAUUAUAUUGACUGAAUUUAUGUGGAAGUUUGAUUUAGUAUUACUGUUACUAUUGUGGUUUUAACAAUUCAUUUGUGACUUCAACACUAUCUAGCAUUAGUUAUUAUGGUGGAAUAUAGCUCAGCUUUUGUACAUUGAUCCAUUUUGUUGGAUUAUUAUUCUUAAUUGGAACUAGAUUUGGUGAAAUCUUUGCAAGCAA